AGAGUUUGAUCCUGGCUCAGAUUGAACGCUGGCGGCAUGCCUUACACAUGCAAGUCGAGCGGUAACAGGUCUUCGGAUGCUGACGAGUGGCGAACGGGUGAGUAAUACAUCGGAACGUGCCCGAUCGUGGGGGAUAACGAAGCGAAAGCUUUGCUAAUACCGCAUACGAUCUACGGAUGAAAGCAGGGGACCGCAAGGCCUUGCGCGAACGGAGCGGCCGAUGGCAGAUUAGGUAGUUGGUGGGAUAAAAGCUUACCAAGCCGACGAUCUGUAGCUGGUCUGAGAGGACGACCAGCCACACUGGGACUGAGACACGGCCCAGACUCCUACGGGAGGCAGCAGUGGGGAAUUUUGGACAAUGGGCGCAAGCCUGAUCCAGCAAUGCCGCGUGCAGGAAGAAGGCCUUCGGGUUGUAAACUGCUUUUGUACGGAACGAAACGGCUCUGGUUAAUACCUGGGGCUAAUGACGGUACCGUAAGAAUAAGCACCGGCUAACUUCGUGCCAGCAGCCGCGGUAAUA
RNAcentral lists this ribosomal RNA (520 nucleotides) under uncultured bacterium. RNAcentral's name for it is "bacterial SSU rRNA". It matches the Rfam family "Bacterial small subunit ribosomal RNA", at positions 8 to 525 of the family's 1533-position model. The record is from RNAcentral.